This 507-nucleotide ribosomal RNA is filed under the name uncultured bacterium. RNAcentral describes it as "bacterial SSU rRNA". It matches the Rfam family "Bacterial small subunit ribosomal RNA", at positions 28 to 534 of the family's 1533-position model. The record is from RNAcentral.
GACGAACGCUGGCGGCGUGCCUAACACAUGCAAGUCGAGCGGGGUUGAAGCGAGAGGUAACUCGAGCUUCUACCUAGCGGCGGACGGGUGAGUAACGCGUGGGCAACCUGCCUCAAGGUUUGGGAUAACAGCCCGAAAGGGCUGCUAAUACCGGAUAUGCCUAUGGCCUCGCAUGGGGCUAUGAGCAAAGGGGAAACCCGCCUUGAGAUGGGCCCGCGUCCCAUCAGCUAGUUGGUGAGGUAACAGCUCACCAAGGCGACGACGGGUAGCCGGCCUGAGAGGGUGACCGGCCACACUGGGACUGAGACACGGCCCAGACUCCUACGGGGGGCAGCAGUGGGGGAUCUUGCACAAUGGGCGAAAGCCUGAUGCAGCGACGCCGCGUGAGCGAAGAAGGCCUCGGUUGUAAGCUCUGUCUGGAGGGACGGAACAAAAUAGACGGUAACCGUCCGGACGGAAGCCACGGCUAACUAACGUGCCACGCAGCCGCCGGUAAUACGUAAGCGU